This is a long non-coding RNA of Erpetoichthys calabaricus (reedfish), 1664 nucleotides long. RefSeq lists it as uncharacterized. The record is from RefSeq and is a predicted model, not a curated record. Lineage: Eukaryota; Metazoa; Chordata; Cladistia; Polypteriformes; Polypteridae. The transcript is spliced from 2 exons.
UGUAAUAAUAAUAAAAAAUGGAAAACUCAAAUCAAAUCCACAGUGCAGUGCCAACUACCAGGAGAUGCCACUGACAACAAGGGAAAUAUUUUUGUUUCGAAGCUUUGGACAUGGUAAAAGUUCACUGCUACUCAGAUAAGGCCUCGUCUCUGGGAUGUCAUCUGAUGACUGACACCUGGGCUGAGUGCAGACAGCCGUUCUUAACCCUGAUAAUGAAGAAGUCAUUUAGUGACGUCAGCUGACAGGCAAUGCUGUCCAAUCAGAUACUGGGGAGGGACAGUCGAGGAGGACAGGAGACUAAACAGAGAGCCGUCACAUGACAGACCAAUGUAGAGGGGCUUUAUAAGACUUUCACACUAAUUUAGGUUAUCAUUUAUAAAUGAUAAGAGUCUCUUUACAAACCAAACACAUUAAUCAGCGGUGUGUCAAGGGUGAGUCCAAAAGUGGGAAUUUAAGACGAUCUAAAUACAAAUAAAAUGAAACAUUCAGGGUUCAAAGAGAAAUGUUUAAGACCUGAAGAGGGAGUCACAACAGCAUGCUAGGGUUAGCACAGGGGACCAAAGUUGUGAAGAAUAUCAAUUAAUCUUCAGCUUUAUUUACUUCACAGAAAACUCCAAAAAGCAGAAGUGGCCCCUUCUGUACCCCCACCACUGAAGGUCACAUUUGACCCCCCACUACUCUGUGUUGGUUCACUCUGCUUGGACUUUGUGUAUUUUGUAAGUUUAUGUUUCAUUUUUUGGCCACACUCUUUUUACAUUUCAUGUCAUUGAUGUUCUCUAAUGUGUGAGUAUAGUUUGACUCUUACAAGGACUUACCUAAAAAGGAUACAUUGGCCAUGAAAUGCAAGAAGGCAGAAAAAUAUAAAAAGUGUAAACCACAAAAUGAAGAGGUGACAUUGAUGAAAUAUGCUCAGUGGCAGAGGUGACGAGGACAAAAUCAGAAAGGACAGCACAGAAAAGGCAGGUACCAACUGAAAACAAAAGAAGAAAGCUGAUUGGUGGAAAGAACUGUCAGUCACUCCUGAGUGGACUGUUGAGGACAGCCGUUGCAUGCAGACUUCAAAGUUCAUGUGUGUUUGAUUUCAAAUCUGUGACCAUGCACUGAAUAAGUCUGUUAUUUAUCAGUUAGCAUGUUCUGAAACUGUAAUGUCAUCACAAAGAUCACACAAACACGUAAUGUGACAUUUGUGAUCAAUCACUUUGUUGAUUUUUAUGGCACCAUUCAUCAGCCCUGUAUAGAGUGCCACUUCCAGAUCGGCAACCCCACUGCACCCCGUAGCACAUUUGGAGUUUGGGACUGGAGCACAAAGUGGAUGGCACUCUGAGAAGGACAGACUUGUAAGACGUGAACAAAGCCAGCUGCCCUCCCUGGUCUGUCUUCAUUCAGAAGGACUCACCUGAGUGGUGGGAUUGUUCUGCGGCGCUCCUGUUAGCCGACAUUUCAUCAGCUUGCUUUCUGCGUUUCAUCUGAUAACAAGUAGAGUUAAUCAAAGAUGAGCCAGGCUUGUUACAAUGUGAACGUUCUUGACAUUUUGUUAUCUUUAAAUAUUUUUUCUGCUUCUUUACUUUGAGUUCUUGUAGGCCUUGUACAUUAGAGAUUAUUAAUACAUGAGCAUUUGGUGUUAAUAAUGAAUUGACAAUUAAUAAACUGUUUUUAUUACUAAA